Molecule: long non-coding RNA, 972 nt
Organism: Antechinus flavipes (yellow-footed antechinus)
Lineage: Eukaryota; Metazoa; Chordata; Mammalia; Dasyuromorphia; Dasyuridae
Exons: 2
Source: RefSeq, a predicted model, not a curated record
GCCCAAUGGACACAGGAAACAAUAAAACAUCAUUAUUCUUUUUUUUAACCCAAACAAGAUAGAGUUUCACAAAUCCGGGAGUCGCCAUUUGUGCCAAAUUCAGAAAUUCCAAUUGUCGGCCAUCCCUGCCAUCUAGUGUUCACUGGUGAAUUUACAGAGAAAUUUGCAGCCCAUUCUAAGUCCCAGAACCCAGACUCAGGAAGAGAAACAACAAUCUUAAAAGUAGUCGUGAGAGUAAUGGAAACUCACAUUUACAAGAUUCUUCGAUAGAUACAGAAAGUUUUGUGUCGGGUUUUUUGUUUGUUUGUUUUAGCGCAUCCUCUAUGGGAAUAGCUGACAUUUCUACAGAGCUUUAAGGGCAAGCCAUGAUUAGGAUGAAAGAGACUGCAAAUGCUCUCUAUUCCAAUUUACAAACAAGAAAACUGAGUCCAGUGAAGUGAAUUGAUUUGCUCAAGAUUACACAGCCGGGAAUCAUGGGAUCAGAGGUCGAAGUGAUCUCAGUGGCCGGCUAUUCCCAGCUGCCCCCAUUUUAUAGACAAGAAAACCAAGGAGCAGAAACCUGACCAAGAUCACACAGAUGAUGAAUGUCAGAAUCCAAGUCCUCGCCCUCCAAGCAUUUACUCUUGCCAUUGGGCCAAUUUAGAAACCACUUUGCACAUACUGAGCUCGACAGAGCACAGAUGACCAGAGGACGGGGAGUCGAGUCCUGCCUUUUCUACUUCCUUCCUGGGUGGUCUUGGAGACCACUACUCUCCAAAGGCCCUUGUUACUUCUCACCCCGGUACUGCUACAGCUUUCAGCCUGGGCUCCUUUUCUCAAGUGAAGGUCUGACGUUUAAAAUAAUGUUUAAAAUGAAUGGAUGCCCAUCAAUUGGAGAAUGGUUGAGUAAAUCGUGGUACAUGAACGUUAAAAUAAUGUUUAAUUUUUUUCUAAUUUUGUGUAAAAACAUUAUAAACAUUCAUUUGGGUUUUU